GCAUUCACGAGCCUAACCUUGACCGAGAGGUCCGGGUAAUCUUUGAAACUGCAUCGUGAUGGGGCUAGAUUAUUGCAAUUAUUAAUCUUCAACGAGGAAUGCCUAGUAAGCGUGAUUCAUCAAAUCGCGUUGAUUACGUCCCUGCCCUUUGUACACACCGCCCGUCGCUCCUACCGAUUGAAUGUGUUGGUGAGGAGUUCGGAUUGGCAGUUAGUGGUGGUUCGCCACUGCUUGCAGCUGAGAAGUUCUCCAAACCGCCCCAUUUAGAGGAAGGAGAAGUCGUAACAAGGUUUCCGUAGGUGAACCUGCGGAAGGAUCAUUGAAUCGAUCAAAUCCACACUGUGAACUGUUUGUCUCCCUCUCGGGGCCGCUCGCGCGGCCGCUUGAGCGGCUAGGGAUGCGUUCCCUAGUCGGGCCUACCCCCGCGCCUCAGCGGGGAAUAGGUCGGCGCUCUUAAACAACCCACACAAAAACAACGUCUAAAGCUAUGUGUAUGUUGGCCUUGCCGACUGCAUCUAACCAAAGACAACUCUCAACAACGGAUAUCUUGGCUCUUACAACGAUGAAGAACGCAGCGAAAUGCGAUACGUAGUGUGAAUUGCAGAAUUCCGUGAACCAUCGAAUCUUUGAACGCAUAUUGCGCUCGAGGCCUCGGCCAAGAGCACGCCUGCCUCAGAGUCGGUUUUCCCCCUCAACCCCCCUACCCCUUGGGUAGAGCCGGUUGGACCUGGCAGUCUCAGAGCUUUCAUUAGCGCUGGGUCUGCUGAAGUGCAGAGAUUUAACCGGGACCCGCUAAGGGCAAACACUAGGUAGGUAGCCUUCGGGUUAUUCCUGUGUGUGUCUAAGGCCUGGCUAUAAUCAGCAGGAAAACACCUUAACCAUUCGACCUGAGUUCAGACGAGACUACCCGCCGAACUUUAGCUAUCAUA
This 929-nucleotide ribosomal RNA is filed under the name Tetraselmis sp. KMMCC 1108. Its description in RNAcentral is "eukaryotic LSU rRNA". The stretch from base 1 to 322 matches the Rfam family "Eukaryotic small subunit ribosomal RNA", at positions 1508 to 1831 of the family's 1831-position model. The record is from RNAcentral. Lineage: Eukaryota; Viridiplantae; Chlorophyta; Chlorodendrophyceae; Chlorodendrales; Chlorodendraceae.